Molecule: long non-coding RNA, 339 nt
Filed under: Hordeum vulgare
Lineage: Eukaryota; Viridiplantae; Streptophyta; Magnoliopsida; Poales; Poaceae
Description: long non-coding RNA (HVUL_LNC013941)
Source: RNAcentral
UUGUCACAAUCUUAUUGUUUCCACCAAAGCAGCAAAAGCUACAUGCACACACACUUCCAUCCACACGUACAGGAGAGGCUAUGGCGUUGUACGUGUGUCGUGUGCGUGCUUUUUUGAGUUGUAUCCGUUGUUAUAAAUCAACGUACGAACUUUUUUGAAGACAUAACUUUUAAUCUCCCCUAAUAAUAAAGCGCGCAGCGCUUGUCGUCCGUCGUCGGUCAUUUUGUAGAAAAGUCCUUGCAGUUUCAGUUAAUUAACCUGCAGUCCAACUUUUAGUCAGAACGAACCGUUUUCUAUCGUUUUGCAGAAAAGUCCUCAUAAUUUUAGAUAAUCAACCCG